Molecule: small nuclear RNA, 20 nt
Filed under: Arabidopsis thaliana (thale cress)
Lineage: Eukaryota; Viridiplantae; Streptophyta; Magnoliopsida; Brassicales; Brassicaceae
Description: snRNA_07177
Source: RNAcentral
UCAACUGUUCAUUAAGUAGA